RNAcentral lists this ribosomal RNA (212 nucleotides) under Staphylococcus aureus. RNAcentral describes it as "partial 16S ribosomal RNA". It matches the Rfam family "Bacterial small subunit ribosomal RNA", at positions 936 to 1147 of the family's 1533-position model. Lineage: Bacteria; Bacillati; Bacillota; Bacilli; Caryophanales; Staphylococcaceae. The record is from RNAcentral.
AGCAUGUGGUUUAAUUCGAAGCAACGCGAAGAACCUUACCAAAUCUUGACAUCCUUUGACAACUCUAGAGAUAGAGCCUUCCCCUUCGGGGGACAAAGUGACAGGUGGUGCAUGGUUGUCGUCAGCUCGUGUCGUGAGAUGUUGGGUUAAGUCCCGCAACGAGCGCAACCCUUAAGCUUAGUUGCCAUCAUUAAGUUGGGCACUCUAAGUUG